Oncorhynchus tshawytscha (Chinook salmon) is the source of this 407-nucleotide long non-coding RNA. RefSeq lists it as uncharacterized. The record is from RefSeq and is a predicted model, not a curated record. The transcript is spliced from 3 exons. Lineage: Eukaryota; Metazoa; Chordata; Actinopteri; Salmoniformes; Salmonidae.
UUGAAACCGAAAUUAAAAAGGAGAACGCCGUUCUGAGGGAAGCCUUACUGGACAAACAAACUAGAUCAAUGAGGGAGAAUAUGGUACUUACAUGUAUCCAGGAGAAAGAAGUAGAUGUUACUGAAUCUGUAGUUAGAGUUCCUCCUUACAGCGCUUCAGAUCCCACACGAAGUUACCGACAAAAUCCAACUUUUACGUGUACACCACUUCGGACAGAGAGGCCAAAGAUGCAGAUCAGGGACUUGGGUCCUCAUGGGACGGGCCAUCAGUACCUCAUGUGGACUGAGGCCAGUUAUCCGGACCAGGGUGGAACACAUUGAAGACAAGGCUAUGGGUAGCACAUCCACCCAGUCUUCCUCCUCUUCAUCUGAAGAGGAGAGGCGAGAUGGAUCGGAGGACCAAAAUGC